Molecule: transfer RNA, 88 nt
Filed under: Microgenomates group bacterium RIFCSPHIGHO2_01_FULL_45_11
Lineage: Bacteria
Description: tRNA-Ser
Rfam family: tRNA
About the family: Transfer RNA (tRNA) molecules are approximately 80 nucleotides in length. Their secondary structure includes four short double-helical elements and three loops (D, anti-codon, and T loops). Further hydrogen bonds mediate the characteristic L-shaped molecular structure. tRNAs have two regions of fundamental functional importance: the anti-codon, which is responsible for specific mRNA codon recognition, and the 3' end, to which the tRNAs corresponding amino acid is attached (by aminoacyl-tRNA synthetases). tRNAs cope with the degeneracy of the genetic code in two manners: having more than one tRNA (with a specific anti-codon) for a particular amino acid; and 'wobble' base-pairing, i.e. permitting non-standard base-pairing at the 3rd anti-codon position.
Source: RNAcentral
GGAGGGUUGGCAGAGCGGACAAUUGCACUAGUCUUGAAAACUAGAGGGAGUAAUCCCUGCACAGGUUCGAAUCCUGUACCCUCCGCUA